Cyprinus carpio carpio is the source of this 2142-nucleotide long non-coding RNA. NCBI's taxonomy places the organism in Eukaryota, Metazoa, Chordata, Actinopteri, Cypriniformes, Cyprinidae. The record is from Ensembl.
CUUUUUUUAAAUAAAAAUAGAACAAGUCAAAAGAAUAGAAAAAUAAUAUAAAAUGUUAGUGCUAGACUGUCGUAUUUUUAUAAUAAAUAAAAAGAAAACAAGAUAGAGUAGAAAAAGAAUAGAGAAUAUUAGUAUUAGAGGCUCUUUUUUAUAAAGAAAACAAGUAGUACGAGUAGGAAAAGAAUAGAGAGUGCAAGUGUUAGAGGGUCAAGUGUUUUUUUUUUUUUUUCUUAGAAUUAGAAUAGAGAGUGCUAGAGUUAAGAGGGUCAAAUGAAGAUGGAAGAGAUGUGAUUUUAGCAAUUUCUUAAAGAUGGCUAAGUACUAAGGUCAUUUCAUCAGGAGGGAACAGUUAAUGGUAGUUAAAGUCAGUGAAAGUCAUUUUGUUCCUCUCUGGAAUGGCACUAUAAUGCAUAAUGCAAGCUUCUAGAGGGCACAUAAUUCUGAAGUAGUGAAUUUAGAUAAAGGGGUGCAGAGCCAGUGGUGGUUUUGUAGACAACCAUCAAUGCCUUGAAUUUUAUGCGAGCAGCUAUUGGUAGCCAGUGCAAAUUGAUGGACAGAGGUGUGACGUGUUGUUUUUGGCCAGUUAAAAGACCAAUUUUGCAGCCGCAUUCUGGAUUAGUUGUAGACACUGAGUUACAUUUUAUAAACGCUUAUACGUAGCCAGCAAAUUGGAAUAAUAAUGUCUGGUUAAAUGACACAGAUAUUUGAACGUAACUCUAACAGUUUUCUAAAAGUCAUAGUAACACAACAGUGCAUGGUAUAUAUUUAACAUUCAAAAUAAAUGGUAUGUAUGCAGUGGGAGCGUGCAUUUGCAACGUGUUGGCCAAACAUUAACAUCAGUGCUUGCAUACUUGCUCAGAAUGUUUUUGUCUAACACAUUGUGUUACAAACAGUUCUUUUCCAUUCCAUUGCACUCUGUCUGGCUGCUUUCGAACAGUAGUUUGCAUCUUGUGUGAAUGGUCCCUAAGAGAACAGUCUGUAAAUCCAAACCCCCUCCCACUUGUUUGCCCUCUUUAGUUUCAGUACUUUCCAGUUUGGAACAAACAUCAAUGGGGUGCUAUUUCUGAUGCCUUUUUCAACAGCAAUCACAAGUUAAAAGUGUUUGAUUUUUUGCUGAGGUUAACUUAUUUCUCAGUUGGUAUAACAAUAUAUAUUUAUAAAGUACAGGAGUAGAAGUCCUAAGUGUAUGCCCGUGUAGAGGAUGUAGGUGUCUAAUAGAUUAUGUCGACUUGAUAUCUUUCUUUACAAAUGAGUGUUUGUGUGAGUUGUGCUAUGUAUGUUCGUAGAUAUGAUAACCUCAGCCUGCUUUUAGUCUCUCUCAAAUCACUGUGAAAAUUCAGGAUACUACACCUAGACUAUUUCACCGUAGACUAGAAUAGAUAUUGUAGUUAGCAACAACCAUAGACAUCUCAAGGCAUGGAUAGCAAUAUCUAAAUAGUGCUACUGAUUUCAUGCACACCGUAAUAGAUGUCACAACCCCACCUACAGUGAGUAUCAAAACAGUUCCAAGAAAUAGAAGAUCAAAACUAUGAUGGACACAGUGGUGUAAAUUCAACAGAUAGCAGUGGCUUGUGCCUGUAACAGAGACUGGCACGAUUAACCAGGCUAACAUGACCAUCAUAAUUACUCACUGUGUGACCUAUACUGCAGCCUACCCCUGUGUACUGGAGCAGAUGUAAGGAGGAACACACUCUUGCACACAAUGCAAAUUUAUUUAUAGCCCGUGGACCCUUCAUAUUUAAUCAGGUCUCGGACCCAAUGUGGACUAGGAGCACAUGAAAAUGUAAAAAAAGGUGAAGAGCACCACAGUCGUGGAAAGCACAAUGACUCACUCCAGGAUUCCUCUUUUCACUUGUAAAUCACCCAUUUCUUCUGAAUGUGUGAACCCUGGUACAUGUACUGUGACAAAAUCCCUCUAUUGGUGUCUAAUAUGGGAAAGAAAACAAAACUGUACAUGCUUACAAACACAAAUGUUUUCUUUUUAAUUUAUUGUAAUUAUUACUUUUGAGAACUGCUGGACUCAUCUCAGCUAAGCCCUCCCCUCACUCUUUAAAGGAAGGCUGGAUGUGAGGCGAGAGGGAGGGAGGUUGUGGUGGGGGGGAGCUAUUGCUUUGGACAAGCUAUUUUAAAUUGUGGUUGAAG